GAUGAACGCUAGCGGCAGGCUUAAUACAUGCAAGUCGAGGGGCAGCGCGGGUAGCAAUACCUGGCGGCGACCGGCAAACGGGUGCGGAACACGUACGCAACCUUCCCAAAACUGGGGAAUAGCCCUCCGAAAGGAGGAUUAAUACCCCGUAACAUAACGAAGUGGCAUCACUUUGUUAUUAUAGUUCCGACGGUUUUGGAUGGGCGUGCGCCUGAUUAGGUAGUUGGCGGGGUAACGGCCCGCCAAGCCUGCGAUCAGUAACUGGUGUGAGAGCACGACCAGUCACACGGGCACUGAGACACGGGCCCGACUCCUACGGGAGGCAGCAGUAAGGAAUAUUGGUCAAUGGACGCAAGUCUGAACCAGCCAUGCCGCGUGAAGGAUGAAGGUCCUCUGGAUUGUAAACUUCUUUUAUAUGGGACGAAAAAGGGCAUUCUUGCUCACUUGACGGUACCAUAGGAAUAAGCACCGGCUAACUCCGUGCCAGCAGCCGCGGUAA
Molecule: ribosomal RNA, 499 nt
Filed under: uncultured bacterium
Lineage: Bacteria
Description: bacterial SSU rRNA
Rfam family: Bacterial small subunit ribosomal RNA
Source: RNAcentral